ACGGGUGAGUAAUGUCUGGGAAACUGCCUGAUGGAGGGGGAUAACUACUGGAAACGGUAGCUAAUACCGCAUAACGUCGCAAGACCAAAGAGGGGGACCUUCGGGCCUCUUGCCAUCAGAUGUGCCCAGAUGGGAUUAGCUAGUAGGUGGGGUAACGGCUCACCUAGGCGACGAUCCCUAGCUGGUCAGAGAGGAUGACCAGCCACACUGGAACUGAGACACGGUCCAGACUCCUACGGGAGGCAGCAUG
Molecule: ribosomal RNA, 250 nt
Filed under: uncultured bacterium
Lineage: Bacteria
Description: partial 16S ribosomal RNA
Rfam family: Bacterial small subunit ribosomal RNA
Source: RNAcentral